UUCUAUCUACAGCUCUCAGCUGAGGAGAGAUCUAAAGGCCUAGUGCCAGUCAUCCAACAUAUGAUGCAUGAAGGAAGAGUUAUAGAAUCAUUAGAAGCAGUUAAUAUCCUAAAAGAUAAUAUGGCUGGGAAGGCAUGCAUUGAAGUUUCAAUUGAUGUAUGGGUUCCAAAACAUCUCAUGAAACUGUACAUUGAUUGCUGCGAGGAGCUCUCUCAGCCACCGAUCUUGAAG
Molecule: unclassified non-coding RNA, 231 nt
Filed under: Hevea brasiliensis (rubber tree)
Lineage: Eukaryota; Viridiplantae; Streptophyta; Magnoliopsida; Malpighiales; Euphorbiaceae
Source: RNAcentral